Molecule: ribosomal RNA, 1504 nt
Filed under: Salmonella enterica
Lineage: Bacteria; Pseudomonadati; Pseudomonadota; Gammaproteobacteria; Enterobacterales; Enterobacteriaceae
Description: partial 23S ribosomal RNA
Rfam family: Bacterial large subunit ribosomal RNA
Source: RNAcentral
AAGCGGGUGAAAAGCCCGCUCGCCGGAAGACCAAGGGUUCCUGUCCAACGUUAAUCGGGGCAGGGUGAGUCGACCCCUAAGGCGAGGCCGAAAGGCGUAGUCGAUGGGAAACGGGUUAAUAUUCCCGUACUUGGUGUUACUGCGAAGGGGGGACGGAGAAGGCUAUGUUGGCCGGGCGACGGUUGUCCCGGUUUAAGCGUGUAGGUGUGUGUUCCAGGUAAAUCCGGUUCACUUUAACACUGAGGCGUGAUGACGAGGCACUACGGUGCUGAAGCAACAAAUGCCCUGCUUCCAGGAAAAGCCUCUAAGCAUCAGGUAACAUCAAAUCGUACCCCAAACCGACACAGGUGGUCAGGUAGAGAAUACCAAGGCGCUUGAGAGAACUCGGGUGAAGGAACUAGGCAAAAUGGUGCCGUAACUUCGGGAGAAGGCACGCUGACAUGUAGGUGAAGUGAUUUACUCACGGAGCUGAAGUCAGUCGAAGAUACCAGCUGGCUGCAACUGUUUAUUAAAAACACAGCACUGUGCAAACACGAAAGUGGACGUAUACGGUGUGACGCCUGCCCGGUGCCGGAAGGUUAAUUGAUGGGGUCAGCGCAAGCGAAGCUCCUGAUCGAAGCCCCGGUAAACGGCGGCCGUAACUAUAACGGUCCUAAGGUAGCGAAAUUCCUUGUCGGGUAAGUUCCGACCUGCACGAAUGGCGUAAUGAUGGCCAGGCUGUCUCCACCCGAGACUCAGUGAAAUUGAACUCGCUGUGAAGAUGCAGUGUACCCGCGGCAAGACGGAAAGACCCCGUGAACCUUUACUAUAGCUUGACACUGAACAUUGAGCCUUGAUGUGUAGGAUAGGUGGGAGGCUUUGAAGCGUGGACGCCAGUCUGCGUGGAGCCGACCUUGAAAUACCACCCUUUAAUGUUUGAUGUUCUAACGUGGACCCGUAAUCCGGGUUGCGGACAGUGUCUGGUGGGUAGUUUGACUGGGGCGGUCUCCUCCUAAAGAGUAACGGAGGAGCACGAAGGUUGGCUAAUCCUGGUCGGACAUCAGGAGGUUAGUGCAAUGGCAUAAGCCAGCUUGACUGCGAGCGUGACGGCGCGAGCAGGUGCGAAAGCAGGUCAUAGUGAUCCGGUGGUUCUGAAUGGAAGGGCCAUCGCUCAACGGAUAAAAGGUACUCCGGGGAUAACAGGCUGAUACCGCCCAAGAGUUCAUAUCGACGGCGGUGUUUGGCACCUCGAUGUCGGCUCAUCACAUCCUGGGGCUGAAGUAGGUCCCAAGGGUAUGGCUGUUCGCCAUUUAAAGUGGUACGCGAGCUGGGUUUAGAACGUCGUGAGACAGUUCGGUCCCUAUCUGCCGUGGGCGCUGGAGAACUGAGGGGGGCUGCUCCUAGUACGAGAGGACCGGAGUGGACGCAUCACUGGUGUUCGGGUUGUCAUGCCAAUGGCACUGCCCGGUAGCUAAAUGCGGAAGAGAUAAGUGCUGAAAGCAUCUAAGCACGAAACUUGCCCCGA